CCAGAAAACAGACCAGGCAAGAGGAUAAACAACUCAGUAAGCUGAAAGGGAGAGUGGCAAGGAAGGACCUAAGGCAGAGGAGGACAGAAAACACCACUGGGGUUUAAAGAAGAGCAAAUCUGAGAUGUGAACCCACAAGGCUCAGUGAAUGUGGAAUCCAGCAAAUUCAUCUGAAAAAGCCACUCUCGAAGUGUAGUUGCUGCUCUUAGACUCCAGCCUUCAUUUACCUAAGGCAAGACUAAAAUCAGCUGAUUCCCCAGAGUUCAGAAGACAAACAGCAUCUUGGGAACGAGAGAAUAAACAGCUCUGGGAAUGCUGAAUAAUUGAAACAAGUUACAUCUGCACUGAUUUCUCCCUACCCCUCCUUAUUUUUCCCUUCCGAAUUCUCUGCUGUUGUAAAGAUUCUCUCCCUCCCUUCCUCCCACCCUCCCCAGAUAAAAACUGCAUAUCUGAGACAGAGAAAUAAAUCCAGGUAAUAGUAGAAUAUACAAUUCAGAGACAUCUUUAUGUUAGCAGAUGAAAAUCAUGAAAAUAAGUUCUACUAAUGUAGAUUAUUUGGAUUUCACUUGUAUUCAUCUUUGCUCACAUGAAUAACAGCUGGGGUGGCUGAAAAUCAGUAGACUAUCAUUACAUCAUAUGAGCUCCAUCCAGCAUAGCAGGCUAUGCUAUUAAGAAGUCAAGUCAGCCUCCUUUCACCACUGAAAAAGCCUUCACUGCUGUUUCAGAGAGGAUCUCCUUAUGGGAGAAGUCCUACAAAAUGUAUUAAGGAUGAAGCCUCUAGUUUAAAAACCUGUAGUAUUUAGCAAAGAACAUAUCCCUGCUAUAGAAAGCUCAGCAUUCUCUACAUUACAUUCUAGGACUUUUCCAUAAGAUAUGGCGGGGCAAGGAAACAGUGCUCUGGAAAUUCACAGGGAUUUCCUCACAUAAGAUACUGGUGGCUGAUGAUGCAAAGAGUUCUGCUUUGCAAUGUGUAUCUAGGAAUGAAAAAUGCUGGUUGAGACCUUAUGAGGGAGUCUGAGUCCUAAGGAAGGAAGACAUAGUGCUAUAAGGCUAUGGAGUACUAUGAGACAUUAAACCACCACAUGAGAUGACUGGGCAGGAGUAAAAACCCUCCACACACAUGUUCAAAGAUGCAUGGGCUCUGUCUGUCCUAUCAGGAAAUUAUGGGUCCCAGGCCACCAUACAUAGAAAGAUAACCCCUCCAAUGCUCUUUUUCCUCUCUUAAAUAAGUUAGUAAAAGCAAACAAUGAGUAGGCAUUUCCACAAUAAGCUCGCCCCUUCAAUGGGUACAUUGCAGCCUGGGCCCCUAUGGAAUCUAAUUCAAGUCAAUGGGACUCUGAAGGGUUUCACAAGUUAACAUUAGUAGAUCCCACGGCAGAACUCAGGGCAUUUUGCAGGUUGGAAGGAACCAACUUAUUUUAAAAACAUUAUUGCAUCCAGGAAAGUGAGACCACAAAAAAGGUGGUUAGGAAUGUCAUUAUCAUCAACAUGGGUGGAGACUGAGGGGAGAGUAGCUAUGUCAAGAGAAGCACAUAUUAUUCUCUUUUCUUGUAAUUCUUCACACUAUACAUUUUCUCUCUGAAAAGGGAUGAUGUGACUUUGCAUAAAGUAAUAAUACUGUAGAUAAGCAUGAAAAGAAAACUGAUUAUAGGUCAGAUUCUGAAGAAGAAGAAGAGAAGAACAGGAACAAAAGAGCAAUGACACGCUGUUACCAUGAACACCACAGAUAUUAUUUUGCUCAAUAGGUUUAAUCCCAUUAAAGUAGCUGCUUCUUCAAAUUAUGCCAGUGCACGAGCAGAAAGAAGCAUAAAACAAAAUUGAGAUUCACUAAGCAUAACAAUGAAAAGUGUUUUAAUACUUGGUUUAAGUAAGAGGAUUCUCUGUGUGGAGCUGUGCUAGGUUUGGCUGUCUUUGAUAGUAGGGAAACUCAGAAUUUUAACUAACUACUCAAACUUUCCUCUUAUCAAGGGAACAGUGUAAUUCCAUCCAUCAGAGGCUCACAAAGAGCUUUACAAACGUCAGUGAACAUCCCUUGAGAUAAGGAAGUAGUAUUGUCCCCAUUUUAGAUAAGAAAAUGGAGCAGGAAAAUGUUAAGAGAUUGGCCCAUGAUCACACAGGGUUUGUCUUCACUGCAGAGUUAACUCGGGUCAUCCGCAUCCAGACUGAACACCCUUGUUAGCCUAGCUCAAGUGUGAGCAACCACACUGCAAAGAUAUGUCUGAGUUACUGAGUCCUUAUUGGUGCUGCAUUCCCCUGUAUGUGUCACUAAGACUUCUGGGGACAAAUGCCAUGGGAUUCUUUUGUGCUGCAGUAAACUAAACUGCUCUAGGAUUCUUUGCCAGUGAAUUGUGGGAAAACCUUCUGGCCACGAGUGGGAAAUUGUGACAAGACAAUGGUAGACUACUGGUACUCGAUUGAUUUAGCCUGUGUCCUCACUGCAAGGCAGCAGGUCACCAGCCCGGCAUCUGAACUUUAGCCUACAGCCUCAGACAAAUCAGCUUGCAUGGGCUGAAAAUACCACUAAACCUGGGUAAGAUGAUUGUGCGGGGAGGGGGACAGGAGGGCAGGUAAGGGCAACACAUAAGUAAGCGCAAGUGAACCCUGCAGUGAAGAUAUACCCACAGUGAGUCUGUGGCAAGGUUGAAACUAGAACCCAGAUCUCACAAGCCGUGACUUCCCACAGAACAAACCGUCCUGAGAGAAAAAUCAGGAAGGUGUAAAGAAAGGUACUAAAUUAAAACUUUGGAGAGUCACUCCUAUACAAGGGGCAGAUUCUGCCAGCGUUAUGCACAUUGAAUAGUACCUUACUUUGCAAAUAGUUCCACUGAAAUCAAUGUGGCUUUCAUAGGGUAAAGUACUGAUCAACAUAAGGGUGAAAAUUCUCUCUUCUCUUCAAGUUGAGAUGAGACUACUGAAAGAAGCAGCCUCCCUUUAUAACCAAAAUAUACGGUAAGUAGAGAAGAUCUAACUAUUUUCUGAAAAGAGGUAGAUCAGGCAUUUUCUGGCCAUACUUAAAUAUCUGACAUUAAACAUUCAGGACUACAACAAGUUUUGAGCUAGAUAAAGCCUCUAUGCACUGCCCUGAGCAAGGAGUGGUGCAUAAGCCAUGCCAUUCCAGGAAUCCAAAAGGAAUAAAUGGGUCAAUACAGUACAAAACAAUAUGGAAAGAGACUGUGAAAACUGACUGGUGAAUGGCCAUUGUGUCUCUGGAGCUUCCUUUUUCCUCUAAAGGAUCCUUCUCUGAACUACCAUCAAGUCAGGCAAAUUGCAGGGUAUAUUCUGUUGGUGAAUGAACAGUUCUAGACAACUGAUUUAAGUGCUCAGUGCUUGUAUUUGCUAUUUAAGUCAGCCAGCAACAAGGUAGUUUCAUGCAUGAUCAAGAGGAAAAUAGCAGAGAUCACACACUUAACAUAGAGUAAAAGUGUAUGCAAAUUUAAAGUUUCCUUCUAAGUUUCCCUAAAUUCCAUGCAAUCCUUUGCGGCAGCCCAAGCAGGGACUGUACUGAUGACAGCUGCCUUUGUGAGUUUGCCAGAGAGCAGCCAGCUGCUUUCCAGAAAACCUGUUUAAAAAAAAAAAAAGUUACUACAAAUUCGUUACAAGCAUCUACUGAUGUACAAAGUAUCAUAAUUUGCAUAAAAUUGUAUUUAUUGUGCUAGCGGUUAUCAGCAUUACUAACAGUUCAACUCCAGCAGCUAGAAUUCUGGAUUUUAACCAAUCUGUCUGUUUAACAUUCUAAAGAAGUAUUUUAAGAUGUGUCUAAGCUUCUUAUCAGCCACCAUCACUUAAACCACUUUGAGAUUAUUCUGCUAUCUUUGAGAUUUAAAAUAAAUUGUAUGUGUUCUCUACUAACAUUUGUACACUACCCACUUCCAUUAUCACACUGGAAGAAUAUUUAAGCAGCAUUGUACUGUGCUUUUUAUGAACAUCAUCCCAUUAAUAUAAUUAAAAUGCAUUCUCAGCAGAAUAAUAUGGCAUUAUUUACCAGAUACAGUCAUUUCAUAGACCCCCUACUUAAAAAAUGUAUAGUCUUAUUUUUGCAAAUCAAACUCUGUGAAGUGUCCCUUUGCAGGUAGGAAGAGACAUUUAACUCAAAAUGCAGUCCUUGAUCCAGCAUCCUCCCGGAGCCCCAAUGGUUUCAGAAUGUCCUUGAAGCCACCAGAAACCAGUGCGAGCCUUAUUCAAGUCUUAUUAUGUAAAGAAGCAAGUGCAUCACAACUGAAGGGUGGUCUUCAUUUAAUUCAGCCAUCAAGAUGCUUAUGGGAUCUUAUUACUAUAACUGACCCACUGUUCAGAGGGUUACAUGGCCCUCCUUCCCUCCCUUGUCAUCUGUGACUGAUCCACAGAGGGAUAGCCACCUGCUAACAGUGCCAGAGUUAGUCUGUUAGCUCAAGUGGUAGUGUUUGUGCUGCAGGCCUGAAAGUCCAAGGUUCAAACCUUCCUGCCAGUCUCUGUUGGAGUUGCUACUUAGCCUUUGUCCUUCCUCACCACAUCCCCUCCCCUACUGCUUGUUGGCUUAAUUCAUGUCUAAAUUUUAAUUAUAAAACUCUUUGGGUCACAGACAAUGCACUUUCAGGUACUGCAGCACAAUGAACAUUAAUAAUACAAUGUGUACCCUCUCUCCUCUUACAUUCUGCCUAUCAACACUAAUGAUAUCCUGAACUGGACUUUAUAAUGCAUUGGGAUGGACUCAAAUUCUGAACUGGAUUGUUAGUCGAUUGGAAUCAUUGUUUUACAUCAUUGCCUUUAAAAGACUGGAAAUUUUAUAAACCUCCACUUAUUUUUUGUCAUGUCUAUUCAAAGACCUUUUUCUUAACUUUAAACCUGUGAGUGAAAUAAUUAAAAUUUCACACCAAAAUCUGAUUACAUAAUUCUAGAUUAAUUUUGCCUUAACUCUCCAGUUGGUAAGAGAAAGAGGUUUGUACAAUAUAUGCUGGACACUUGCCAGCAAAAAAGGUACUUUGUCAUCUCAGUGAAUGAGAAAUUACACGCAUACCACCCAUUAGUGAUGAGAAAUGUACAAGUGAGCCCCUGGCACAGAAAUGAAACUAUAACAUCAAUGUGAGUAGGAGGAAAAUACCUGUCCCUCUUAUGCAGGUUAUGCAGCUUUGAAUUCCUUUACAUAUGUGGAAAGGUAGAAUUGUAAUUAUAACUAAGUUAAAAUGUAACAUUAGAACCAAUGGAAAGGUAAAAAGGUGCAUGAAGCAGGGAAUGUUUACAUCAAGAAACAAUACCUUGUUUAGACUUCCAAACAGUUUCCUUUUAUUCCAUCCACACUACCAUUUUCUAAUAUAAGUGAAAAUGAAAUAAUGUAGUUUUAAUAUUUAAAAUGUCCUGUCACCAUUCUGAUGAGGGUACUCAAAUCUCAUCUGUGACAAUAAGAAAGAAAUUCCCCUUACUCUUUUUGCGUGGGGGAGAAGGGGUACCUUUAUGAUAAACAGUAAUGGUAUCAUAUUAACAUAUCUCUGGAGUACACUAUUUCCAUAUUUAUGCUGACAUACAGUAACUGCCUGAUAUAUGUCACUAACUACUGGAUAAAUUACUGUGGUUUAACAAAUUUUUCAAACUGAGCGCAAGACUGUUCUCUGUAACAUGACAACAUUUUUGAAGCAGAAUUGCCAAAUAUAGCUCUGCCACAAACUCCCUGUGUAUCAUAGAAUCAAUCAUAGAAUCACAGAAUAACAGAGUUGGAAGGGACCUCUGGAGGCCAUCUAGUCCAACCCCCUGCCCAGAGCAGGACCAA
Chelonia mydas (Green sea turtle) is the source of this 5740-nucleotide long non-coding RNA. RefSeq lists it as uncharacterized. The transcript is spliced from 3 exons. NCBI's taxonomy places the organism in Eukaryota, Metazoa, Chordata, Testudines, Cheloniidae. The record is from RefSeq and is a predicted model, not a curated record.